GCUCUGUAGUCUAAGAAUUGCACAAGGGUGGUGGUAACCUUAAUACACCAGAUUUCUCAGGAGGAAACUGAAGCACAAUUUCCCAAGCUCUGGUAAUUCAAGUGCAAUUUUCCUCUGACAUUUUUGGGGCUCUGUUGGCAUGGUGAUAAUGGCAGUUAUCUACCAGUAACAGUAAGAGAAGCUAUGUAGUUAGGAUAUUGUUAAACAGAUGGAGUGGUUUUUGUUGGAUACUAAAUACUGCUACAAUU
RNAcentral lists this small nucleolar RNA (248 nucleotides) under Sorex araneus (European shrew). Lineage: Eukaryota; Metazoa; Chordata; Mammalia; Eulipotyphla; Soricidae. The record is from RNAcentral.